Molecule: transfer RNA, 96 nt
Filed under: Mesopusillimonas faecipullorum
Lineage: Bacteria; Pseudomonadati; Pseudomonadota; Betaproteobacteria; Burkholderiales; Alcaligenaceae
Description: tRNA-Sec
Rfam family: Selenocysteine transfer RNA
Source: RNAcentral
GGGAGGACGUCGUCCCCGGUGGGGCGGCCGGACUUCAAAUCCGGUUAGGGCAGCGAGCCUGUCCUGGGUGGGUUCAACUCCCAUGUCCUUCCGCCA